RNAcentral lists this ribosomal RNA (254 nucleotides) under uncultured bacterium. Its description in RNAcentral is "partial 16S ribosomal RNA". It matches the Rfam family "Bacterial small subunit ribosomal RNA", at positions 524 to 776 of the family's 1533-position model. The record is from RNAcentral.
UACGUAGGGUGCGAGCGUUGUCCGGAAUUAUUGGGCGUAAAGAGCUCGUAGGCGGUGUGUCACGUCGGUCGUGAAAACCUGGGGCUUAACUCUGGGCUUGCGGUCGAUACGGGCAUCACUUGAGUUCGGCAGGGGAGACUGGAAUUCCUGGUGUAGCGGUGAAAUGCGCAGAUAUCAGGAGGAACACCGGUGGCGAAGGCGGGUCUCUGGGCCGAUACUGACGCUGAGGAGCGAAAGCGUGGGGAGCGAACAGG